AUGUGCUAUGUACCAGCUGGGGUACACUCACUCAUCUCUUAUCCUCUCCUCUUUCCUGGCUCCAGUCCUCACAGCUCCCUGGCUAAUGAGCCAAGCAGUGAUGGAGUCAGGCCCACAGUGGGGAUUCAACCAUACAAGAAGAGUGAUGUUGUGCUGCAGACCUCUUGCCUGGGUGGCCUCAACCUUGUCCAGUGUUUAUGGAGUACUUCCUUCCUGGCAGGUCACCAGCAUUUACCUCCACCUCAUAAAAGAGCAGAGGGCUUGUUUCUGACUCCUCUCAGAGUGAGCUGCAACUCACUGGCUGUGCAAGCCCAGGUGAGUGACUUAGCUUGUCUAGGCCCUAGUUUCUUUACCAGCAAGGAGUGAAAACACAGCUGAUUCUUGUUAUUCGGGGUAGUCAUGUUCUGUAAAGUAGCUUGGAACACUGAAAUAGCAUGUGUGUGUGUGUGUGUGUGUGUGCGCGUGCGCGCUCAAUCACUUAGCUGUAUCUGACUCUUUGCAACCCUAUGGACUAUAGACUGCCGGGCUCCUCUGUCCAUGAGAUUUUCCAGGCAAAAAUACUGGAGCAGGUUGCCAUUCCCUUCUCCAGGGGAUCUUCCUGCCCCAGGGAUUGAACCUGCAUCUCCUGCAUUGGGAGAUGGAUUCUUUACCACUGAGUCACCUGGGAAGCCUUUUGUGAACCUCUGAUCACAUUUUUUUCAGUUGAUCAAACUUAACCUUGUUUUAUGUGUAUUUCUGCUCAGAUACAUUGCUUGAUAUAUAUUGUUCAUUCAAAAUUGACGCAACUGCUCUAACACACCUGUUUUCUCUGUAAUGCACAUCACAACUUUCUUGCAGUUAGAGAGCACUUCAGCACGAUGUUUGGGGCCAUUUGAAAGAGCUAAAUCACUCACAAAAAGCACAAAAUUGUGAAGAGCCCUGCACUAGAUGGAUCACGGAAAGGACAUGUUAACAGUGUGAGCUGAAACAGGAGGGUGGAGCAUCGGUCGGCUUGCUGGACUUCAGCUGGGAAUUUGCACGUGGGGCCACUCUUCGAAUGUCCACCAGUGACCCGGAAGGCAUGGUAAGCAUUGAUGGGGGUUAUAUAUUUCUUUUUCCCCCUCUUUUAUUUGUAAAUAUUUAUUUUUUAAUUGAGGGAUAAUUGCUUAUAGAAUUUUGUUUUUUUUUCUGUCAAACCUCAACAUGAAUCAGCCAUAGGUAUACAUAUAUUGCCUCCCUUUUGAACCUCCCUCGCAUCUCCCUCCCCAUCCCACCCCUCUAGGUUGAUACAGAGCCCUUGUUUGGGUUUCUGGAGACAUACAGCAAAUUCCUGUUGGCUAUCUAUUUUACAUAUGGGAAUGUAAGUUUCCACGUUAGCCUCUCCACACAUCUCACCCUCUCCUCCUCUCUCCCUGUGUCUAUUCUCUGUGUCUGUUUCUCCACUGCUGCUGCUGCUAAGUCACUUCAGUCGUGUCCGACUCUGUGCGACCCCAUAGAUGGCAGCCCACCAGGCUCUGCCAUCCCUGGGAUUCUCCAGGCAAGAACACUGGAGUGGGUCCUGCAAAUAAAUUCUUCAGUACCAUGUAUGUGCACUAGUAUACGAUAUUUAUCUUUCUCUUUCUGACUCACUUCAGUCUGUAUAAUAGGCUCUAGGUUCAUCCACCUCAUUAGAAUUGACUCAUACAUGUUCCUUUCUUAUGGCUGCGUAAUAUUCCAUUGUGUAUAUGUACCACAGCUUCUUUAUCCAUUCAUCUGUUGAUGGAGAUCUAGGUUGCUUCCAUGUUCUAGCUAUUGUAAAUAGUGCUGCAAUGAAUAAUGGGAUACAUUUGUCUUUUCAAUUUUGGUUUCCUCAGCAUAUAUGCCUAGGAGUGUGGUUGCUGGGUCAUAUGGUGCUUUUAUUCCUAGUUUUUUAAGGAAUCUCCAUACUGUUUUCCGUUGUAGCUGUAUCAAUUUACAUUCCCACCAACAGUGCGGGAGCGGUCCCUUUUCUCCACACUACAAAGUACAUUUCAUUGAGCAGGAG
Long non-coding RNA from Bos grunniens (domestic yak), 2002 nucleotides. NCBI's taxonomy places the organism in Eukaryota, Metazoa, Chordata, Mammalia, Artiodactyla, Bovidae. The record is from Ensembl.